This 446-nucleotide ribosomal RNA is filed under the name uncultured bacterium. RNAcentral describes it as "bacterial SSU rRNA". It matches the Rfam family "Bacterial small subunit ribosomal RNA", at positions 340 to 778 of the family's 1533-position model. The record is from RNAcentral.
UACGGGAGGCAGCAGUGGGGAAUAUUGCACAAUGGGCGCAAGCCUGAUGCAGCCAUGCCGCGUGUAUGAAGAAGGCCUUCGGGUUGUAAAGUACUUUCAGUCGUGAGGAAGGUGUUAAGGUUAAUAACCUUAGCAAUUGACGUUAGCGACAGAAGAAGCACCGGCUAACUCCGUGCCAGCAGCCGCGGUAAUACGGAGGGUGCGAGCGUUAAUCGGAAUUACUGGGCGUAAAGGGCACGCAGGCGGUUAAUUAAGUUGGAUGUGAAAUCCCCGGGCUUAACCUGGGAAUGGCAUUCAAGACUGGUUAGCUAGAGUCUUGUAGAGGGGGUAGAAUUCCAUGUGUAGCGGUGAAAUGCGUAGAGAUGUGGAGGAAUACCGGGUGGCGAAGGCGGCCCCUGGGACAAAGGCUGACGCUCAUGUGCGAAAGCGUGGGGAGCAAACGAGGA